ACUCAAAGGAAUUGACGGGGGCCCGCACAAGCGGUGGAGCAUGUGGUUUAAUUCGACGCAACGCGAAGAACCUUACCAGCUCUUGACAUGUCCCGUACGGGCCGGGGAGACCCGGUUCAUCGGUUCGGCCGGCGGGAACACAGGUGCUGCAUGGCUGUCGUCAGCUCGUGUCGUGAGAUGUUGGGUUAAGUCCCGCAACGAGCGCAACCCCCAUCCGCAGUUGCCAGCGAGUUAAGUCGGGCACUCUGCGGAAACUGCCGGUGACAAGCCGGAGGAAGGCGGGGAUGACGUCAAGUCCUCAUGGCCCUUAUGGGCUGGGCUACACACGUGCUACAAUGGCGGUGACAGAGGGGAGCAAGGGUGCGAGCCCGAGCCAAUCUCAAAAAACCGUCUCAGUUCGGAUUGCUCUCUGCAACUCGAGAGCAUGAAGUCGGAAUCGCUAGUAAUCGCGGAUCAGCACGCCGCGGUGAAUACGUUCCCGGGCCUUGUACACACCGCCCGU
This 502-nucleotide ribosomal RNA is filed under the name uncultured bacterium. RNAcentral describes it as "partial 16S ribosomal RNA". It matches the Rfam family "Bacterial small subunit ribosomal RNA", at positions 899 to 1397 of the family's 1533-position model. The record is from RNAcentral.